This 76-nucleotide transfer RNA is filed under the name Cordylochernes scorpioides. Its description in RNAcentral is "tRNA-Lys". Lineage: Eukaryota; Metazoa; Arthropoda; Arachnida; Pseudoscorpiones; Chernetidae. The record is from RNAcentral.
UUCUCAUGCCGGGAAUAGAACCCGGGCCUUCUGGGUAAAAGCCAAAUAUCCUAGACCACGUGUAAAAUAAAAAAAA